AGUCUUUAGCAGUUAUUAAAGAUCACAUCUGCCCGGUGAAUUUUUUUUUUUUUACGGACUUAAAGUAGCGUGAUAAUUUGUCCCCUAAUUAGGGACUUGAAUGAAUGGUGCCACGACAGCAAAAAUGUCUCAUGUUUAAAUAAAGAAAUUGCUGCUAAGUGAAAAUGCUUAGAUUAAAAAACCGGACGAGAAGACCCUGUAGAACUUAACAUUUAUUUGUUUUAUUGGGGCAAUAGCAGAGAACAAGCCUCUGCCUUUACAUAAAAUUCUUUUAUAAAAAAAUCCUUAAAAAGAAUAAAGAAAAGUUACCUCAGGGAUAACAGCGCUAUCCUGUUGGAGAGACCUAAUCAAUAACAGGGGUUGCGACCUCGAUGUUGGACUAAGACACCCAUGGGGGGUAGAUUUUCCAAAGGGUAACCUGUUCGGCUUUUAAAGUCUUACAUG
Molecule: ribosomal RNA, 444 nt
Filed under: Sundanella sibogae
Lineage: Eukaryota; Metazoa; Bryozoa; Gymnolaemata; Ctenostomatida; Sundanellidae
Description: partial 16S ribosomal RNA
Rfam family: Bacterial large subunit ribosomal RNA
Source: RNAcentral